GACAAACGCUGGCGGCAUGCCUAACACAUGCAAGUCGAACGGACAGAACAGGGAAGCUUUUCGGAGUGGAACUGGAAAGUUAGUGGCGGAUGGGUGAGUAACGCGUGGACAACCUACCUUGUAAAGGGGAAUAACCUCAAGAAAUCGAAGCUAAUACCCCAUAAUAACCUUGCUUCGCAUGAAGUAAGGAGGAAAGGCGGCCUUAGCGCUGUCGAUACAAGAUGGGUCCGCGUCUGAUUAGCUAGUUGGUGAGGUAAAGGCUCACCAAGGCGACGAUCAGUAGCCGGCCUGAGAGGGUGAACGGCCACAUUGGGACUGAGACACGGCCCAAACUCCUACGGGAGGCAGCAGUGGGGAAUCUUCCGCAAUGGGCGAAAGCCUGACGGAGCAAUGCCGCGUGAGUGAAGAAGGCCUUCGGGUUGUAAAACUCUGUCCUUAUCGAAGAGAGAGUGUUGUAGUAACUGACAAUACUAGGACGGUAGAUGAGGAGGAAGCCCCGGCUAACUAUGUG
This 511-nucleotide ribosomal RNA is filed under the name uncultured bacterium. Its description in RNAcentral is "partial 16S ribosomal RNA". It matches the Rfam family "Bacterial small subunit ribosomal RNA", at positions 28 to 507 of the family's 1533-position model. The record is from RNAcentral.